AUGACGCCAGACAGCCACCUCCUCCUGCGCGAGUCCAUCUACACGCAUCGGGCGCCGAGUCUCCGAUGUGCCACGCCGCCGAGAUCUGUUGUCUUUGAUGCGGAGGAGGAAACACCGCUCCACCUCUGGGCGCAUCGCCGACCACCUGCCGCGAUGUCGUGCAAGUCCAGCUCUGGGAAAGCACGCAUGGAAUCACGAUCUUCAAGACGACGCCCUCAGGAGGGGAAGCGGCCUCACGCCAUCGUCUGGUCCUGCGCCGCAGGUCCUGGGCUUUCAUCCGAAGAAAGUGACCCGAGAGCGGAGGAGGUCGGAGAACUCCACAACGACCCCCAGGAGGAGAGCGACAUCCGCAGACACCGCGCCGUCUGCUUUCGCCCGGAGCAACCCUACCUCUGCUUUCGCCCGGAGCAACCCUACCUCUACACCCUCACUGAAUCAGCUGGCAUUACUUCAAUGGUUAACUGUAAGAAGAAAACUGAAGAAAUGAGAUAG
This 492-nucleotide ribosomal RNA is filed under the name Triticum aestivum (bread wheat). Its description in RNAcentral is "partial small subunit ribosomal RNA". The record is from RNAcentral. Lineage: Eukaryota; Viridiplantae; Streptophyta; Magnoliopsida; Poales; Poaceae.